This 253-nucleotide ribosomal RNA is filed under the name uncultured bacterium. RNAcentral's name for it is "partial 16S ribosomal RNA". It matches the Rfam family "Bacterial small subunit ribosomal RNA", at positions 524 to 776 of the family's 1533-position model. The record is from RNAcentral.
UACGGAGGGUGCAAGCGUUAUCCGGAUUCACUGGGCUUAAAGGGCGCGUAGGUGGGUUGGUAAGUCAGUGGUGAAAUCUCCGAGCUUAACUUGGAAACUGCCAUUGAUACUAUCAGUCUUGAAUAUUGUGGAGGUCAGCGGAAUAUGUCAUGUAGCGGUGAAAUGCUUAGAUAUGACAUAGAACACCAAUUGCGAAGGCAGCUGGCUAGACAUAUAUUGACACUGAGGCACGAAAGCGUGGGGAUCAAACAGG